Molecule: ribosomal RNA, 369 nt
Filed under: Scytonematopsis contorta 04267-00001
Lineage: Bacteria; Bacillati; Cyanobacteriota; Cyanophyceae; Nostocales; Scytonemataceae
Also listed under: 1 other name
Description: bacterial LSU rRNA
Rfam family: Bacterial large subunit ribosomal RNA
Source: RNAcentral
GCUUUACUGUAGCCUGGAAUUGGGUUCGGGCUUGGCUUGCGCAGGAUAGGUGGGAAGCGUAGAGAUACUCCUUGUGGGGAGUAUGGAGCUAACGGUGAGAUACCACUCUGGCGAAGCUAGAAUUCUAACCUACGACCGUAAUCCGGUUGGGGGACAUUUUCAGGUGGGCAGUUUGACUGGGGCGGUCGCCUCCAAAAAGGUAACGGAGGCGUGCAAAGGUUCCCUCAGCACGCUUGGAAACCGUGCGUCGAGUGUAAAUGCAUAAAGGGAGCUUGACUGUAAGACAAACAAGUCGAGCAGGUACGAAAGUAGGCAUUAGUGAUCCGACGGCUCAGAGUGGAAUGGCCGUCGCUCAACGGAUAAAAGUUA